Molecule: ribosomal RNA, 254 nt
Filed under: uncultured bacterium
Lineage: Bacteria
Description: partial 16S ribosomal RNA
Rfam family: Bacterial small subunit ribosomal RNA
Source: RNAcentral
UACGGGGGGAGCAAGCGUUGUUCGGAUUUACUGGGCGUAAAGGGCGCGUAGGCGGCCACCGCAAGUCGAUUGUGAAAUCUCCGGGCUUAACCCGGAAAGGUCAACCGAUACUGCGGGGCUAGAGUGCAGAAGGGGCAACUGGAAUUCUCGGUGUAGCGGUGAAAUGCGUAGAUAUCGCUUGGAACGCCAACGGUGAAAACAGGUUGCUGGGGGUGUGCUGACGCUGAGACACGAAAGCCAGGGGAGCGAACGGG